RNAcentral lists this small RNA (131 nucleotides) under Kluyvera intermedia. RNAcentral describes it as "RtT sRNA". It matches the Rfam family "RtT RNA". From Rfam's summary of the family: This family represents a bacterial cis-regulatory element known as RtT RNA. The exact function of RtT is unknown although it is thought that it may be involved in changing the cellular response in relation to amino acid starvation. The record is from RNAcentral. Lineage: Bacteria; Pseudomonadati; Pseudomonadota; Gammaproteobacteria; Enterobacterales; Enterobacteriaceae.
UAUCCUGCCCACGCGGGAAGGAUGAGAAGCUUCGACCAAGGUUCGAUUCGAGCGUAGCGAGAAAGCGUUGCCGCAGGCAACGACCCGAAGGGCGAGGAGCUACGCGACGAGUAAUCCUUCCCCCAUAAAGC